AUGGAUGGCCUGGAGACUGAAGUCUUCUAUGUACUCACAGAACAGGUAUAACUUUAGUGGCAGCAGUGCAAUCUUCCCAGCUAACUGCCCUGCCAAAGUGCCUCCUGCCUGACCCAGGAAAGGUGCAAGCGGGGAGUUUAUUCUCAGUAGUAUGGCAAAACUUUUUUUUC
This 170-nucleotide small RNA is filed under the name Chrysemys picta bellii (western painted turtle). RNAcentral's name for it is "TUC338 (ENSCPBG00000011921.1)". The record is from RNAcentral. Lineage: Eukaryota; Metazoa; Chordata; Testudines; Emydidae.